RNAcentral lists this ribosomal RNA (497 nucleotides) under uncultured bacterium. RNAcentral describes it as "partial 16S ribosomal RNA". It matches the Rfam family "Bacterial small subunit ribosomal RNA", at positions 28 to 507 of the family's 1533-position model. The record is from RNAcentral.
GAUGAACGCUGGCGGCGUGCCUAAUACAUGCAAGUCGAGCGAACAGAUGAGGAGCUUGCUCCUCUGACGUUAGCGGCGGACGGGUGAGUAACACGUGGAUAACCUACCUAUAAGACUGGGAUAACUUCGGGAAACCGGAGCUAAUACCGGAUAAUAUAUUGAACCGCAUGGUUCAAUAGUGAAAGACGGUUUUGCUGUCACUUAUAGAUGGAUCCGCGCCGCAUUAGCUAGUUGGUAAGGUAACGGCUUACCAAGGCGACGAUGCGUAGCCGACCUGAGAGGGUGAUCGGCCACACUGGAACUGAGACACGGUCCAGACUCCUACGGGAGGCAGCAGUAGGGAACCUUCCGCAAUGGGCGAAAGCCUGACGGAGCAACGCCGCGUGAGUGAUGAAGGUCUUCGGAUCGUAAAACUCUGUUAUUAGGGAAGAACAAAUGUGUAAGUAACUAUGCACGUCUUGACGGUACCUAAUCAGAAAGCCACGGCUAACUACGUG